Molecule: long non-coding RNA, 2106 nt
Filed under: Dicentrarchus labrax (European seabass)
Lineage: Eukaryota; Metazoa; Chordata; Actinopteri; Moronidae
Description: lncRNA (ENSDLAG00005030309.1)
Source: RNAcentral
AAAAAGUCACCUGCACAUUAAAUGGAUACAUGCUCAAAAAUUCUCCCUGACAAGAAAAAUCUAAACACUGAUAAUGACCUCACACACAGGCUUUGGUCACACUCAGAGUACUGCUGGACACAACCACAUACGCUCAAACAAGUUGCCCACAUACUGGCUCUGCACCAUGUCAGAUCCAAAUCUAGAUAUUUGUACUUCUGGGAGAUUGAAGGGUUCCACCUCUGCUUUUAUUCCUCAAGUGGGUGAUGCAAAAGCACUGAUUCCUCCCCCACUACCUCUCAAACGCCACCAGAGGUCACCUGAAUUUGAGACAACUUUAAGCCAGGGCCCACAACUGAAAGCCUUUAAUAUAGAGAGCUCACUGGCAUGUCAGACUUCUCUUGGGGAAGUCCCAGGGGAAGUACAUGACAUUCACAGUAGCCGCAUAUUUGGAAUUUUACCAAAAGUGGAACAAAAAUGCCACAAAAAUGAACAAACACAGUUUGCUCCAAGACCUCCUCUUACACCACCUAUAAAACCUCCACGGCCUAAUAAGCCAAAAAAGGCUGAGCUAGAGGAAGAAAAGACAGGAGACAAGAAGAACAGGCAUGAGCAAGAGCUGAUGGAAAGAAAUGAGAAUACAGAAGAGAAUGAAGAAACAUCUAAAAUAGAAAGUCAUCUGCACGUAGGUAAACCUCCACGGCAGAUCUUAGUAAUAUUUACAGAAUAUCUACGGGAGAAAGGUGGAGAGGACAGGGGAAAGGAAGAUAAAGAACCUAAUAAUAUUGAGCUGACCACUACCUUGACAGAAAAUUCAUUCCUGCUAGCAAUGAAAGGCUCAGACCUUACCUCAGAUGAAGAACCUGACAUGGCAGCAACAAACAGAAAGUCUAUAGUUUCAGUGAAACAAGAACCAACAAUUCCACCACAGCCUCCUCCAAAGACACAUCAGAAGUGUCCCCCAAAACCACCAAUCAAACCUCUACAGCUCUUCAGCGCCAUGAGGUCCAGGAUAGAAGAGGAAACAGAGAGUAGGAAGCAGGUGGAUGAAUGGUUAAGAGACAAUGGCUUGGUGGACAAAGAAAGGAAUGAAGAGGAAGACGAAGGAAAGGAUGGAGGAAAGGUAAAUGUAGAUACAGAGUCAAUGACACCAACCAUGACAGAAAUGCCUUCCCGACCAAAAGAAAUAGUAAUGAAGUCCAUCCCCAAGUCUUCAGUGUAUCAGGAGGUGGAACUGCCAAGAGCAGGGCAAAGAUUUUGUCUCAUGCCCCCUUGUAGAAACAAACCGUCAGAAAUCACAACUGAGAACAAAACUCUUCAUCAGUCUCAGCUCCCAGGGAAACAACACCUGAACCAUGCAGAUGGACAAGUCCAUCCUGGUCCUCUUCCACAAAAGAUUCCUAUUCCUGUCCCAUGGGUACAAGACUCUGAAGUAAUUUCUAAGUUGCCAUCUGGACAUCAGGAAGGGACAGAGGUGGUGGGGUCGAAGUUGGAUCCACAUCAGCUGGAUGCACAGGAAAUUGCUGAGAUGCUUUUGGAUGGAGAACUAAAGCAAACAAACCAGAAGACCAAUGCAAGAGGAAAGGUGAAACAGCUUGCCAAGAAGGUGAUCGGUAGAUUGAAAGAGGGACGAGAGGACAAAAGAAGAAGCAAAGCGCUAGAGAUGGAAAUAGAUGAUACUGAACUGACACAGGAUGAAAAGUGGCAUGGGGAAGAAGGAGGAAUGAAGGAUGAGGAGAAAGAGGAAGGGAAUGAUGCAGUUACUGUGGACCAAUCAGCAGUGACAGAGACACAGAGCUAUGCUGACCGGAUGAAAGGGAGGAUUGCAAGAAGAAAUGCAACAUCUGAAAGACAUUAUAGCAUAGUUUGCCUGUGAAUGCAGCUGGGAAUUCUGCUUCUCAGAUCAAAUAAAUUCAUCAUCAUUGUGUUGUGUGGUAAAAAAGUGUGCACAUUCGGGAGUGGCAAUUCCGUGCACUGUGGGGCACAGUCCUUAUGUGUGUGUGUUUUACUGAACAACCAACAUGGUUUAAUUAUUAAUACUGAAAAUACAGAGAAAUACUGCAUACAGAUUAGGAUACAAAUAGGAGCAGACACAGCCUCAUUUCCCAGUUCAGCAACAUUGAUCAU